Podarcis lilfordi (Lilford's wall lizard) is the source of this 70-nucleotide non-coding RNA. Lineage: Eukaryota; Metazoa; Chordata; Lepidosauria; Squamata; Lacertidae. The record is from the annotation of a GenBank genome assembly.
AGUUCUGUAGCUCCAUGGUAGAGCAUCUGCCUUGCGCACAGAGGGUCGUGGGUUCAAACCCCCAGGGCAU